Molecule: ribosomal RNA, 461 nt
Filed under: uncultured bacterium
Lineage: Bacteria
Description: bacterial SSU rRNA
Rfam family: Bacterial small subunit ribosomal RNA
Source: RNAcentral
AACGAACGCUGGCGGCGUGCCUAACACAUGCAAGUCGAGCGCGAAAAGAGCAAUCUUAGUAGAGCGGCGCACGGGUGCGUAACACGUGGGUAAUCUGCCUCGAGGUUUGGGAUAACCAUUCGAAAGUUUGGCUAAUACCGAUUAAGCUCACGGUGACUUCGGUCGCUGAGAGAAAAGGGGCCCGAAAGGGUCUCGCCACGAGAUGAGCCCGCGGCCCAUCAGCUAGUUGGUAGGGUAAUGGCCUACCAAGGCUUCGAUCCGUAACUGGUCUGAGAGGACGACCAGUCACACCGGAACUGAGACACGGUCCGGACUCCUACGGGAGGCAGCAGUGGGGAAUAUUGGACAAUGGGGGCAACCCUGAUCCAGCGACGCCGCGUGGGUGAAGAAGGCCUGCGGGUUGUAAAGCCCUUUCGGUGGGGAAGAAAAGUCUCGACCUAAUACGUCGGGACCUUGACGUA